AUGGUUUUUCUUUCCACAGUUCCACUUGUGGUGGCACCAAGUCCCUUGGAGCUAGGAUUCACCUCCUGGCAUCACUGGAGACCUGAGGUGACGGAGCCCAGCCGAAGCUGGCACUGCAGCGUGGUCUCCCCUUGUGCUGGAGGAGAGGGGAGGGAGAUGCUGACGGGCUCCUUGCCCAGGGACAAAAAUCCUCCAGGCUUCCCCGUCCUGGGGUGGAAGCGGAGUGUGAUCCCUGCCCUUGCUGUGGAAGGAGAAGAUCUGCCCCAAGGUGCCAUCCCUCCCUCCAUCCCAGCAUGUAUUUUUUGUCCACGACUCCAACCGCCCAGCUCUUCAUCAUCCUUCCUCUCCAUCACCGAGCCCUCGUUUGUCUGCCCGCUCCUCUCUGAUUUUAGGCUUUAA
This 399-nucleotide long non-coding RNA is filed under the name Anser cygnoides (Swan goose). RNAcentral describes it as "lncRNA (ENSACDG00005015550.1)". Lineage: Eukaryota; Metazoa; Chordata; Aves; Anseriformes; Anatidae. The record is from RNAcentral.